RNAcentral lists this ribosomal RNA (1353 nucleotides) under uncultured bacterium. Its description in RNAcentral is "16S ribosomal RNA". It matches the Rfam family "Bacterial small subunit ribosomal RNA", at positions 33 to 1381 of the family's 1533-position model. The record is from RNAcentral.
ACGCUAGCUACAGGCUUAACACAUGCAAGUCGAGGGGCAGCAUGGUCUUAGCUUGCUAAGGCCGAUGGCGACCGGCGCACGGGUGAGUAACACGUAUCCAACCUGCCGUCUACUCUUGGACAGCCUUCUGAAAGGAAGAUUAAUACAAGAUGGCAUCAUGAGUCCACAUGUUCACAUGAUUAAAGGUAUUCCGGUAGACGAUGGGGAUGCGUUCCAUUAGAUAGUAGGCGGGGUAAUGGCCCACCUAGUCUUCGAUGGAUAGGGGUUCUGAGAGGAAGGUCCCCCACAUUGGAACUGAGACACGGUCCAAACUCCUACGGGAGGCAGCAGUGAGGAAUAUUGGUCAAUGGGCGAGAGCCUGAACCAGCCAAGUAGCGUGAAGGAUGACUGCCCUAUGGGUUGUAAACUUCUUUUAUAAAGGAAUAAAGUCGGGUAUGCAUACCCGUUUGCAUGUACUUUAUGAAUAAGGAUCGGCUAACUCCGUGCCAGCAGCCGCGGUAAUACGGAGGAUCCGAGCGUUAUCCGGAUUUAUUGGGUUUAAAGGGAGCGUAGAUGGAUGUUUAAGUCAGUUGUGAAAGUUUGCGGCUCAACCGUAAAAUUGCAGUUGAUACUGGAUAUCUUGAGUGCAGUUGAGGCAGGCGGAAUUCGUAGUGUAGCGGUGAAAUGCUUAGAUAUCACGAAGAACUCCGAUUGCGAAGGCAGCCUGCUAAGCUGCAACUGACAUUGAGGCUCGAAAGUGUGGGUAUCAAACAGGAUUAGAUACCCUGGUAGUCCACACGGUAAACGAUGAAUACUCGCUGUUUGCGAUAUACAGCAAGCGGCCAAGCGAAAGCGUUAAGUAUUCCACCUGGGGAGUACGCCGGCAACGGUGAAACUCAAAGGAAUUGACGGGGGCCCGCACAAGCGGAGGAACAUGUGGUUUAAUUCGAUGAUACGCGAGGAACCUUACCCGGGCUUAAAUUGCAGAUGAAUUACGGUGAAAGCCGUAAGCCGCAAGGCAUCUGUGAAGGUGCUGCAUGGUUGUCGUCAGCUCGUGCCGUGAGGUGUCGGCUUAAGUGCCAUAACGAGCGCAACCCUUGUUGUCAGUUACUAACAGGUUCCGCUGAGGACUCUGACAAGACUGCCAUCGUAAGAUGUGAGGAAGGUGGGGAUGACGUCAAAUCAGCACGGCCCUUACGUCCGGGGCUACACACGUGUUACAAUGGGGGGUACAGAGGGCCGCUACCACGCGAGUGGAUGCCAAUCCCAAAAACCUCUCUCAGUUCGGACUGGAGUCUGCAACCCGACUCCACGAAGCUGGAUUCGCUAGUAAUCGCGCAUCAGCCACGGCGCGGUGAAUACGUUCCCGGGCCU